Molecule: ribosomal RNA, 801 nt
Filed under: uncultured Pelagibacteraceae bacterium
Lineage: Bacteria; Pseudomonadati; Pseudomonadota; Alphaproteobacteria; Candidatus Pelagibacterales; Candidatus Pelagibacteraceae
Description: bacterial SSU rRNA
Rfam family: Bacterial small subunit ribosomal RNA
Source: RNAcentral
GCUGGCGGCACGCCUAACACAUGCAAGUCGAACGAAGUAGCAAUACUUAGUGGCAGACGGGUGAGUAACAUGUGGGUAUCUUCCCUAUGGCCUGGAAUAACACGAGGAAACUUGUGCUAAUACUGGAUAAGUCUUUACGGAGAAAGCUUUAUGCACCAUUGGAUGAGCCCGCACUUGAUUAGUUUGUUGGUGGGGUAAUGGCCUACCAAGACAAUGAUCAAUAGCUGAUUUGAGAGGAUGAUCAGCCACAUUGGGACUGAGACACGGCCCAAACUCCUACGGGAGGCAGCAGUGGGGAAUCUUGCACAAUGGAGGAAACUCUGAUGCAGCGAUGCCGCGUGAGUGAAGAAGGCCCUUGGGUUGUAAAGCUCUUUCGUCGGGGAAGAAAAUGACUGUACCCGAAUAAGAAGGUCCGGCUAACUUCGUGCCAGCAGCCGCGGUAAUACGAAGGGACCUAGCGUAGUUCGGAAUUACUGGGCUUAAAGAGUUCGUAGGUGGUUAAAAAAGUUGGUGGUGAAAUCCCAGAGCUUAACUCUGGAACUGCCAUCAAAACUUUUUAGCUAGAGUAUGAUAGAGGAAAGCAGAAUUUCUAGUGUAGAGGUGAAAUUCGUAGAUAUUAGAAAGAAUACCAAUUGCGAAGGCAGCUUUCUGGAUCAUUACUGACACUGAGGAACGAAAGCAUGGGUAGCGAAGAGGAUUAGAUACCCUCGUAGUCCAUGCUGUAAACGAUGUGUGUUAGACGUUGGAAAUUUAUUUUCAGUGUCGCAGCGAAAGCAAUAAACACACCGCCUGGGGAGUACG